RNAcentral lists this ribosomal RNA (685 nucleotides) under uncultured archaeon. RNAcentral's name for it is "bacterial SSU rRNA". It matches the Rfam family "Archaeal small subunit ribosomal RNA", at positions 348 to 896 of the family's 1478-position model. The record is from RNAcentral.
CUUUAACUGCACGAAAGUGUGAUAAGGGAAUCCUAAGUGCUCAUGCAUAGCAUGGGCUUUUGCCAAGUGUAAAUAGCUUGGCGAAUAAGUGGUGGGUAAGACUGGUGCCAGCAGCCGCGGUAACACCAGCGCCACGAGUGGGGACCAUAGUUAUUUGGCCUAAAGCGUCCGUAGCUGGUUUUGUAAAUCUUUUGUGAAAUUGUUAGGCCCAACCUAACAGCGAGCAAGAGACACUACAAGACUUGAGACCGGGAGGAGUAAGGAGUAUUUCUUGGGGACUGGUAAAAUGGGAUAAUCCAAGAAAGACUACCGGUGGCGAAGGCGCCUUACUAGAACGGUUCUGACAGUGAGGGACGAAGGCUAGGGGAGCGAACCGGAUUAGAUACGAUAAGUUUUCCAAAGUAAUUUCAGAAAUUAAUUCAUAAGUUCGUAAUAAUUUUACUUUAUGAGUUGAUUAGCAAUAAUGAAAACUUAAUCGCUAAUUACCCGAGUAGUCCUAGCAGUAAACGCUGCGAGUUAGGUGUUGCACAACUUACAUGGUUGUGCAGUAUCGUAGAGAAGUCGUUAAACUCGUCGCCUGGGAAGUAUGGUCGCAAGACUGAAUAGUAUAUGAAAUCUAACAUAAAUGAUGUCUAUACACAGUAGACUUAAAGGAAUUGGCGGGGGAGCACAAGCCGAAUUCCAC